Molecule: ribosomal RNA, 630 nt
Filed under: uncultured bacterium
Lineage: Bacteria
Description: bacterial SSU rRNA
Rfam family: Bacterial small subunit ribosomal RNA (bases 1-544)
Source: RNAcentral
CCUACGGGAGGCAGCAGUGGGGAAUUUUGGACAAUGGGCGCAAGCCUGAUCCAGCCAUGCCGCGUGCAGGAUGAAGGCCUUCGGGUUGUAAACUGCUUUUGUACGGAACGAAAAGACUCUGGUUAAUACCUGGGGUCCAUGACGGUACCGUAAGAAUAAGCACCGGCUAACUACGUGCCAGCAGCCGCGGUAAUACGUAGGGUGCGAGCGUUAAUCGGAAUUACUGGGCGUAAAGCGUGCGCAGGCGGUUAUAUAAGACAGAUGUGAAAUCCCCGGGCUCAACCUGGGAACUGCAUUUGUGACUGUAUAGCUAGAGUACGGCAGAGGGGGAUGGAAUUCCGCGUGUAGCAGUGAAAUGCGUAGAUAUGCGGAGGAACACCGAUGGCGAAGGCAAUCCCCUGGGCCUGUACUGACGCUCAUGCACGAAAGCGUGGGGAGCAAACAGGAUUAGAUACCCUGGUAGUCCACGCCCUAAACGAUGUCAAACUGGUUNUUGGGUCUUCACUGACUCAGUAACGAAGCUAAACGCGUGAAGUUGACCGCCGNGGAGGACGGCCGCGAGGUAGAAACGACGAAGUAGAAGUUAGACGGCGUGAGACGUUAGCCGACGGACGACGACGAGGGAGGAGG